UAUUAUGAGAAGAUAAUGAAGCUUGCUUUAUUCUGUCAACGAACAAAGAUACGACAGAGGGAAGAGAAAGCAUUAUAGGUUUUACUCCCGUUGUGCGACAAUCUUUGGUAUUUUUUUUCGAAUUGCAAUAUCAUUAUAAUUCCAGCAUAGCAAAUUAUUUCGUACGCUCUUGUGAUCGGAUCUUGACCUGAAUGAUGCGCCUAGAUUAAUUAAUCCUGCUGUCGCACAGAAUCCGCUUAGUAUGGACGACGCGGAAGCGUACGACGAGGACGUGAACGAUCAACCGGUCGAUUACAGCAAGAAGUAUACCGAGAGAAAUGCUCCGCCGCAGAAUCAUCUGGCCGAGCCGAGUGCGCAGCAACCUCGUGCCUCGAAGAAGGAGUUCAGUGAACGCGACUCCAAGGUAGACUUGUUCGGUGACUACGCCGAGACCGAUCUGGAUCAACCCACAGAUUACAGUUUACGAUACGCCGAGGACGACACUGACGAGGAGGAGAAACAGAACGCCGAAUAUUUUCCUGUCAGUGGACAAGAGGAUACGGUCAAGACUUACUGCACAGAGGGAACUCCUUACGAGACACCCUUCAAUUUUUCCACGGCCACUUCCAUGUCGGAUCUCCGAGUCGAGGAUAUAAAGGAGAGCGAACUCCCGAAGAAGAUGUCGAAGAAGCCGAUUGAUAUCGUUAGGAAGAGUCCUGUGUCCUUUAUCAAACAACCCAAGACGCCUGACUGUGAUGAACAAGAUGGUCUAAUAACGAAAGAACUCGAAGAGGAAAAUCCAAAGAAUACUGUGGUUCUUAAUCCUGGCCAGGUGACUCCAGAGAAGAUAGUAAGUUAUUAUGAGGAGGAAACGUCGCAUGGUUUCUCACGUGCCAAUUCAUUUAGUUCCCUGAGUAGUGCAGUGACUUCUCAGAAUAACGUUCCAGGAGUUAUGUCAAAAGUAGACUCGCCAUCUUCCGUGAAUAAAGAAGAACUGGAAAAUGAUGAUCACAGUGCUGUAAAAUUGAAUAACAAUCAAGUAGAAUUGUCUUCGGGAAAUAAUAAUCUAUCUGAACGCAAGAAUAAUCCACGUGUGUUGGAUAAAGAAGGAAAAAUGGUAACAUUUAGUGGUCAAGAUUAUUAUGCAGAAGAAACUCCUUUAAUGUUUUCACGCUGUAGUUCACUUGGCUCAUUGAGUGGAUUUGAGCAACAUUCAAUUCAUGAUGAUCGUAGUUCUGUGAUCAGUGAUUUUAGUCGUAGGACCAGUGGUAUAGUUUCACCAAGUGAACUACCAGAUUCACCCACACAGACAGCUUUACCUAGUCCACGAAAUCAUAAAACUCAAAGUACAGAAUUUGUAUCAAAACUACAAGAAGAGACAGUAAGAUCAUCAGUUCGACAGCAUUUAUCAUUUUCUAAACCGCAAAUCACGAUGAGUAGUGUUUUUGAAGAUGAAGUUGCUACUUUUAAGGAAGAAUCGACACCAAUUGAAUUUUCUAGUGCAACAAGUCUGAGUUCCCUUACAAUUGAUGAUGAAGUCAAAAUAUCUAAUGAUACAAAGAUGUAUUGUAAAUUGGAAAAAGUACCUGAUGAAGAUGAGAAAGACAUCUGUAAACUCGAGACCGAUAUGCUUAAUAUGACAAUAAGCAGCUCAAAAAGUAAAGAGAAAGAGGAACAAAUAAGCGACGGCGAUGAGGAUGAUGAAGAUAUGUUGGCUGCCUGCAUUAAUAUGGGAAUGCAAACUAACAGAUAUAGACAGUCCCUGAAAGUUCAGGAAUCUACACAAUCGGAAUCGCCGAAUAUCUUAGUGUCGUAUCAAAGAAAUUCUAUACCAAAUAGAUUAGAAUCACCUGCGACUCCUGUAGAAACGCCUAUCAGUACUUUGAAAACGAAUAGAACUGCAGUGGAUAUCGUUGCUUCAGAUACCGUACACGUAUAUUGCACGGAAGAUACGCCUGCCGACAUCUCUCCGGUAGGAUCGCAAUCCAAUCUGUCCGCUCUUUCGAUGCCAAGUGUACAAGAGGAUGUGGAGAAGAUAGAACCAGACAACCAAUCAGCCGAGAUCGAUUGCCACAGAAGUGAUUUAUUCGAUGAAAGUUCCAAUCUCUCAGGCGAGGAUGAAAAAAUAUUAGAUGAAUGCAUUCAAUCAGGCAUACCUAAGGCGAGACAAAUAACUCUACCUCCAGCAAAUAGCAUCCCGUUCGUUAAAAAACCGGAAACGUUACAUAUAAUUAACAUAUACGGUACUCCGUCAUCUUCGCCUGUUGAAGCAAAUCAUGGGAAUAAGAAUCCUAUAUUAAGGCCUAAAUCGCCAGGCAAUGGAUUAUCGAGGCAUCCAGACGACUUUUCUGAUGACAGUUUGAAUCAUUCAGAUGAUGAAGCAAUUUUGACAGAAUGCAUACAGUCUGCAAUGCCAAAGACAGUUUAUUUUAGGCAAGAUUUAACAUAUCACCAUCACUCAAACAGCCAUUGUCACAAGUCACAGAAAAGCCUAGAGUAAUAAAUACAAUACAGACGCCCUCCACUUCUUCAGCAUUUCUUCAGUCAAGAUAUGUAGAGCAAAGAAAGAAUGUAAUGAAAAAACGUUUAUCUUUCGAAGAAAAUGUUGGGCUUUCUGAAGAAGAGGAAGAUAUCAUGUUGGCACAAUGUAUUAGAUCUGGGAUGCCAAAAACAUUAAGUUCCAUGCCUUCGACAGUAACAUCUACGAUAAAAAAAUCCGAGCCGUGCCCGAAAACUGCGAAGAGUUUUGGAAUCCUUCCAUCUUCCUGCUUUACAAACAAGGCUUAUUCCUCCAAAAGCGCUAUGCUACACUCACAAUUGUCGAAAUCCGUGAAUGUCAACACAGCGGACACGCGUUACAC
RNAcentral lists this unclassified non-coding RNA (2840 nucleotides) under Camponotus floridanus (Florida carpenter ant). RNAcentral's name for it is "adenomatous polyposis coli homolog, transcript variant X2". Lineage: Eukaryota; Metazoa; Arthropoda; Insecta; Hymenoptera; Formicidae. The record is from RNAcentral.